Molecule: long non-coding RNA, 268 nt
Organism: Cyprinus carpio carpio
Lineage: Eukaryota; Metazoa; Chordata; Actinopteri; Cypriniformes; Cyprinidae
Source: Ensembl
AUCUGUUUCAGUGUCUGGUCACUCCUGUGAAUGCUACCAGAGUUUGUUCAGGAGUCAACAGUAACGAGACUCUCCUGUCCGCUGGACUCGUGAGCGCCCCCUGUAGUGCGGACCUGCAGCAGUACGCUUGCUCUUCGGUAAGAAGUCCAUGAAUAGAAAACUCGGUUCACAUGAGCUGAUGUUGAUGAUCAUCUAAGAACCUGAGUCCCUCCAAAUAUUCAGCAGUUUCUGGAAUCGGCAUAAUAGUUCCUGAACGUUGAUGUCCACU